UCUGAUUGAAGGCUAUCGUUGCUCUGGUAGUGUUAUUGUCCUGCUAGUGAUUAUUGUUCCCAUCAUCCUGAAAUACCAUUCUUGACUUGCUGGUGGAAUUCACUGUGGAUAUGGCUUCAAAAUGACAGCAAAGCAAACAGCUGUGUGAUUCCAGUGGAACAAAAAGUGUAUAUAGCUUCGAAAUGUUCCUCUACCCUCACCCCAGAAGGCAAGUGCCCAGUACUGUCAAGAACAUUCAAAGGACCUGGGAACUUCAUAGCCAAUUCUGAUAUCAAAAGCAAAUUCAAAACCCCAUUGUUGCUUUCUCAGGGGAAACAUCCUUUGUAACCAGAUACUUGCCAGUAUUUUUUUCUUUUUACACACACACACACACACACACACACACACACACACACACACAUAUAUAUGAGAAAGAGAGAUUCUAUUUAUAAUUUAAAUAAUUUUCUCUUAGUUGCUGAUAGUGGAGGAGGAAAAUGGGAGGGUUUAAUUGUAUAUAUGUUAUCAUUUAAAAAAUCCUAACUAUUCUGUUGAAUAACUGAGGAUGCCAACUUUCUCAUUUGUGAAAAACAUGGUUUUGUAGACAUUGUGUAUUUGUUAAGGGAUCCAGAAGCUCUAUGUUCUUGGUAUUAUUGCUUAUGAUUGUGACAUAAAUGCUCUAGUAAAUUACUAUUUUUGACUGUAUGUAGUUCUGAGUAAAUAAUUGAGGUAAAAGAACCACUUAUUUUAA
Long non-coding RNA from Sceloporus undulatus (fence lizard), 727 nucleotides. RefSeq lists it as uncharacterized. The transcript has 2 exons. The record is from RefSeq and is a predicted model, not a curated record. NCBI's taxonomy places the organism in Eukaryota, Metazoa, Chordata, Lepidosauria, Squamata, Phrynosomatidae.